RNAcentral lists this ribosomal RNA (470 nucleotides) under uncultured bacterium. Its description in RNAcentral is "bacterial SSU rRNA". It matches the Rfam family "Bacterial small subunit ribosomal RNA", at positions 1 to 523 of the family's 1533-position model. The record is from RNAcentral.
UAGAGUUUGAUCCUGGCUCAGAACGAACGCUGGCGGCAGGCCUAACACAUGUAAGUCGAGCGAGAUCUUCGGAUCUAGCGGCGGACGGGUGAGUAACGCGUGGGAACGUGCCCUUCUCUACGGAAUAGCCCUGGGAAACUGGGAGUAAUAUCGUAUACGCCCUUUGGGGGAAAGAUUUAUCGGAGAAGGAUCGGCCCGCGUUGGAUUAGGUAGUUGGUGGGGUAAUGGCCUACCAAGCCUACGAUCCAUAGCUGGUUUGAGAGGAUGAUCAGCCACACUGGGACUGAGACACGGCCCAGACUCCUACGGGAGGCAGCAGUGGGGAAUCUUAGACAAUGGGGGCAACCCUGAUCUAGCCAUGCCGCGUGAGUGAUGAAGGCCUUAGGGUUGUAAAGCUCUUUCAUCUGGGAAGAUAAUGACGGUACCAGCAGAAGAAGCCCCGGCUAACUCCGUGCCAGCAGCCGCGGUAA